ACAGAUGGUUUAUCAUACUACCAUCUGCCAGAGAAUUACAAGUGAAAAACUUAAAACUCCAAGGACUUGACGGUGCCCCACACCAGCCUAGAGGAGCCUGUCCUAUAAUCGAUACCCCACGCUCCACCUCACCCCCCCUUGCCAAACCCCGCCUAUAUACCGCCGUCGUCAGCCCACCUACUGAUAGCAACAAAAGUCAGCAUAAUAGCACCCCGCUAGCACGUCAGGUCAAGGUGUAGCUAAUGGGGGGGACUAAGAUGGGCUACAUUUGCUAACCUCUAGCAAACCCCACUGAAAGCCCCAUGAAACAAAGGGCCAGAAGGCGGAUUUAGCAGUAAACACCGGCAAGACCUGCCAAUUUGAACACCGCUCUGGGGCGCGUACACACCG
RNAcentral lists this ribosomal RNA (390 nucleotides) under Homonota uruguayensis (Uruguay marked gecko). Its description in RNAcentral is "partial 12S ribosomal RNA". It matches the Rfam family "Bacterial small subunit ribosomal RNA", at positions 845 to 1392 of the family's 1533-position model. Lineage: Eukaryota; Metazoa; Chordata; Lepidosauria; Squamata; Phyllodactylidae. The record is from RNAcentral.